UAGCUCUGAUUUCUCAUGAGUUGUGCAUAAAUCUUUUACCUUUUACUAAAGUUUUUUGUGGAGAGGAACAUCACUGAGUUUGAUGUAUUUUUGUGAGCUGUGUCUGCUUCAACGUU
Hemibagrus wyckioides is the source of this 116-nucleotide small nuclear RNA. RefSeq annotates it as U5 spliceosomal RNA. The transcript has a single exon. The record is from RefSeq and is a predicted model, not a curated record. Lineage: Eukaryota; Metazoa; Chordata; Actinopteri; Siluriformes; Bagridae.